Molecule: non-coding RNA, 789 nt
Filed under: Ephemera orientalis (oriental mayfly)
Lineage: Eukaryota; Metazoa; Arthropoda; Insecta; Ephemeroptera; Ephemeridae
Source: RNAcentral
GAAAAGUUUUAUUCUGGCUUAUGUUACUUUUUAUAUAAUUAUUUUACAUGUAAGUUUUAGCGUGAAUAUAAAUAGUUCUUAAAGAUUUUAUUAAUUUAGGCGCAGUAUUUUACAUUAAAUAUCAAUGUAAAUUGGAUUUAGUAAAUUAUAUAGUUCUGGUAAAAUUUGUGCCAGCCACCGCGGUUAAACAAAAGGGGCAAAAAAGUAUUUUUAGUUGUAGUUAAUUUAUGUUUUUAUAGAGUUAAUUAAAUAAUAUUGUUGUUAGGUGAAAUUUUAAAAUAUUAGAUGAACUUUUUAUUAAUUAGGUGAAGCUAAGAAAAUUAGUUAAUAAACUAGGAUUAGAUACCCUACUAUACUAAUUGUUAUUUAAUAAGGCUUGAGUAGUAAUAGUUAUGUUCUUAAAACUCAAAGAAUUUGGCGGUGUUUUAGUCUUAUCAGAGGAAUUUGCCCCGUAAUCGAUAAUCCACGUUUUACUUUACUUAAUUUGGUUAACAGCUUGUAUACCGCCGUCAUCAGGGUAUAUUAGGAGAUUAUGCUCAAGGAUUAUAAUUAUAAAAUAUGUCAGGUCAAGGUGCAGUUGAUAAUUAAGAGGAGGUGAAUUACAAUAUAAACAUAUAUUAUGGAUUUAAAAUUGAAAGAUUUUAAUAAAGGAGGAUUUGGGUGUAAUAAAAUAUAGAUAAAUUUUAUGAUAUAAAGCUCUAAAACAUGCACACAUCGCCCGUCGCUCUCAUUUUAAGGUGAGAUAAGUCGUAACAUAGUAGAUGUACCGGAAGGUGUAUCUAGAAAGUU